UAGGUUAUUAAGGGCGUAUGGAGGAUGCCUUGGCACAAAAAGGCGAUGAAGGACGCGGCAUGACUGCGAUAAGCGUCGGGGAGCCGUCUAGCGGGCUUUGAUCCGGCGGUGUCCGAAUGGGGCAACCCAUGGCGAGUAAUGUCGCCAUAUCUUUAUCCGUAAGAGAUAAAGGAGCAAACCCGGGGAAGUAAAACAUUUCAGUACCCGGAGGAAAAGAAAAAAAGAAUCAAUCUAUUAUUCAUGGGUCCGGAUAGUCGGGCUAAUGAAUAAUAUUUUGAUAAUAUUCCCCCAGUAGCGGCGAGCGAAAAGGGAGGAGUCCAAACCCAUCCGAAUUGAUUAGUUGAACGGUUUUGGAAAAGCCGACCAAAGGGGGUAAUAGUCCCGUAAGCGAAAAUCUUUUUAAUACUUUCUGGUUAUUUUCUUGAGUACCGCGGGGAAAGACUGCCCCGCGGGAAGCCGGGAGAACUACACUCCCAAGACUAAAUACUUUUUGUGACCGAUAGUGAACUAGUACCGUGAGGGAAAGGUGAAAAGCAGCCCGGUGAGGGCGAUGAAAUAGAUCCUGAAACCAUACGCUUACAAAGAGCGGGAGCCCGCAAGGGUGACCGUGUGCCUAUUGAAGAAUGAGCCAACGACUUUAUAGGAACGGCUUGGGUAAACCUCGUUUGAGGCGGACCCGUAGGGAAACCAAGUCUGAAUAGGGCGUUUUUGUCGUUCUUAUAAGACCCGAAGCCAGGCGAGCUUACCAUGGUCAGGUUGAACCCCGCAGAAAUGCGGGGGGAGGACCGCACCCACUAGCCGUGCGACACUAGGGGAUGAACUGUGGUAAGAAGUGAAAAGCUAAUCGAGCCUGGGAAUAGCUGGUUCUCUCCGAAAUAGUUUUAGGACUAGCCCCGCGUGUUUUUUAUUGGAGGUAGAGCACUGGUUGGUAUUGAUUGGCGCAAGCUAGCAAGACCAGUCAAACUCCGAAUUCCAUUAAAAUAACUCGGGAGUCAGUAUUCGGGGGCAAAGCUCCGAAUACAAGAGAGCAAGAACUCGGACCAUCGUCUAAGGUCCCUAAAUUUUGGCUAAGUGUAGAAGGAAGUGAUGCGUCGAAGACAAAUAGGAGGUUGGCUUAGAGGUAGCCAUCCUUUAAAGAGUGUGUAACAACUCACUAUUAUAUUUCCCUUUGGGAGAUUGACGCAUCGCGCCGAAGAUAUAACGGGACUAAGCCAGAUACCGAAGACAUGGGUUUGCGAAUUUUAAUUCGCAAGCGGUAGGAGAGCGUUUUUAGCGCAGCGAAGAUUGACCCGCGAGGGCGAUUGGAGCGCUAAGAAGUGAAAAUGUUGGCAUGAGUAACCUGCAAGACAGAUGAGAAAUCUGUCCGCUGAAAGCCUGAGGUUUCCUUGGCAAUGAAAAUCAGCCAAGGGUUAGGCGGUCCUAAGGCAAUGGAGAAAUCCGCAGCCGAUGGACAGACGGUUAAUAUUCCGUCCCUAUCUCAAGCGCUUUUACGGAAUGACGAAGUUUAGUAUGCCGGGCGCCUUAUUGGAUUGGCGUUCUUUGCAUCAGAGUUUUUGGAAGGCAAAUCCUUCCAAAUGCGUUUAAUCGCAAACUUAAGUGUCGAGAAAAUUUUCCCGUUCGCGGGAAGAAAUUUGGCAAAGCAAGCUUCCAAGAAAACUUUCGUAAAUUAGCUUGAGGUAUCCGUACCGAAAACCGACACAGGUGGGCAGGGCGAGCAGCCCACAGCGAACGAGUGAUCCGUGGUUAAGGAACUCGGCAAAAAAGCGGCCGUAAGUUAGCGAUAUGGCCUGCCCCGCUUAGCGGGGCCGCAGCUAAAGAUUCCCUGGCGACUGUUUAUCAAAAACACAGCUCCCUGCUAACUCGCGAGAGGAUGUAUAGGGGGUGAUGCCUGACCUAUGCGAGAAGGUUAACGGCGGAUGUGGUAUUCCCAGCAAUGGAGAUAUUGCUGAUGCCCGAAGCCCUCGUAAAUGUCAGCGAUAACUAUAAUCGUUCUAAGGUCACAAGCGUAAUUCCUUGUCUGGUAAGUUCAGACGUGCACGAAAGGCCUAACGACUGGGGAACUGUCUCAACCACGAGCUCGGUGAAAUUGCAAUUCCAGCGAAGAUGCUGGGUACCUGUAGCAAGACGAAAAGACCCCGGGAGCUUUACUGUAACUUAGUAUUGGCUAUAGGACUUUAAUGCGUAGCAUAGAAGGGAGGCUUUGAAACCGUGUUUUCGGAUGCGGCGGAGCCGCCAGUGAAAUACCUUUCUUUAAAGUUUUAUAAUCUAACCGGCGCGGCAAAAACGCGUUGGGACAGUGCUUGGUGGGCAGUUUUAGUGGGGCGCUAUCCUCCAAAAGCGUAACGGAGGAGUCCAUUAAGGUCGACUAGCUUCGGAUGGAAAUCGAAGCGAUAGGGCAAAUCCAAAAGUCGGCUUAACUGCAAGGCAUACAUGCCGCGCAGAUGCGAAAGCAGGGAUUAGUGAACUGUUUGUGGUUAGUAGAAACGCAAACAAUCAUCGGAUAAAAGCUACCCCGGGGAUAACAGGCUAGUCUGGUCCAAGAGUCCACAUCGACGACCAGGUUCGGCACCUCGAUGUCGGCUCAUCUUAUCCUGGGGCUGGAGAAGGUCCCAAGGGUUUGGCUGUUCGCCAAUUAAAAAGGUACGUGAGCUGGGUUCA
Molecule: ribosomal RNA, 2658 nt
Filed under: Candidatus Azambacteria bacterium GW2011_GWD1_43_18
Lineage: Bacteria; Candidatus Azamiibacteriota
Description: bacterial LSU rRNA
Rfam family: Bacterial large subunit ribosomal RNA
Source: RNAcentral